This is a long non-coding RNA of Melitaea cinxia (Glanville fritillary), 680 nucleotides long. RefSeq lists it as uncharacterized. The record is from RefSeq and is a predicted model, not a curated record. The transcript is spliced from 4 exons. NCBI's taxonomy places the organism in Eukaryota, Metazoa, Arthropoda, Insecta, Lepidoptera, Nymphalidae.
CUUCUCUCUAGACGUUCACUCGGUGUGUAUUGUGUACAAAAUACGAACUUGUGGACUAAUUUAGCUAGAUAAAAAUUUGUGUUGUGUGUAAAGCUUCGUUUUUAUGUUUAAUUACGUAAAACAUUUAAGAUGGCUUUUAUGUAUGCAUUAGUUUUAUUUUUAAAUGAUUCGUCCAAUAAAGAAAUUGAUAUAUUGAAUAUCGUGGUACCGGGUGUAAAUAGCCUGAAUCAUUGUUAUAAAGUACUAAGUAUUGUAAAUUAUUACAAACGAUAGUUAAACAUUGUGAAGGGUCUGACCGACAUGGCCAACGUUUUAUGUUCAAAUAAGUGGCACAGCAGAAACAAUGGAAGAGGCAGAGGAAAAAUUAAUAAGAUUAAAAAGAACCCCUAUUCUUCUCUACCAAUAAUGAGUAGUCUGCUAAAGCAAAAGCGGCUGCUGUUGAAAAAACUUUCAAAUUAAAAGCAUUAGCAAAGGAUUGAUUAAAAAUAGAUAAUAUAUUUAGCCAAAUAGCUUUAGAGUUAACUGACGAACCCACUGAAAUUGCAGAACCCAAGAAAUAAAAGCCAUAAAAAUGUAAUCAAAAAAUUGUGAAGAAACAAGCCUAAAAACAUAGUCUCGAAUGGUCAUCUACAUCAAUAGUGUCUUCGAUAUCUUCAUCACCACCGUCAUUGUUAUGUAAA